UGAGGAAUAUUGGUCAAUGGGCGAGAGCCUGAACCAGCCAAGUAGCGUGCAGGAUGACGGCCCUAUGGGUUGUAAACUGCUUUUAUGCGGGGAUAAAGUGCGUGACGUGUCAUGCAUUGCAGGUACCGCAUGAAUAAGGACCGGCUAAUUCCGUGCCAGCAGCCGCGGUAAUACGGAAGGUCCGGGCGUUAUCCGGAUUUAUUGGGUUUAAAGGGAGCGUAGGCCGCCAGAUAAGCGUGUUGUGAAAUGUACCGGCUCAACCGGUGAAUUGCAGCGCGAACUGUUUGGCUUGAGUGCACGGUAAGCAGGCGGAAUUCAUGGUGUAGCGGUGAAAUGCUUAGAUAUCAUGAAGAACUCCGAUUGCGAAGGCAGCUUGCUGCAGUGCGACUGACGCUGAUGCUCGAAGGUGCGGGUAUCAAACAGGAUUAGAUACCCUGGUAGUCCGCACGGUAAACGAUGGAUGCCCGCUGUCCGCCUUUUGUGGCGGGUGGCCAAGCGAAAGCGUUAAGCAUCCCACCUGGGGAGUACGCCGGCAACGGUGAAACUCAAAGGAAUUGACGGGGGCCCGCACAAGCGGAGGAACAUGUGGUUUAAUUCGAUGAUACGCGAGGAACCUUACCCGGGCUUGAACUGCCAGUGAACGAUACAGAGAUGUUGAGGCCCUUCGGGGCGCUGGUGGAGGUGCUGCAUGGUUGUCGUCAGCUCGUGCCGUGAGGUGUCGGCUUAAGUGCCAUAACGAGCGCAACCCCUUUUUUCAGUUGCCAUCAGGUAAUGCUGGGCACUCUGGAGAUACUGCCACCGCAAGGUGUGAGGAAGGUGGGGAUGACGUCAAAUCAGCACGGCCCUUACGUCCGGGGCUACACACGUGUUACAAUGGGGCAUACAGAGUGUUGGCUUAACGCAAGUUUGGUCUAAUCUUCAAAGUGUCUCCCAGUUCGGACUGGGGUCUGCAACCCGACCCCACGAAGCUGGAUUCGCUAGUAAUCGCGCAUCAGCCAUGGCGCGGUGAAUACGUUCCCGGGCCU
RNAcentral lists this ribosomal RNA (1025 nucleotides) under unidentified. Its description in RNAcentral is "bacterial SSU rRNA". It matches the Rfam family "Bacterial small subunit ribosomal RNA", at positions 355 to 1381 of the family's 1533-position model. The record is from RNAcentral. RNAcentral also lists the same sequence under 1 other name.